This 588-nucleotide ribosomal RNA is filed under the name uncultured bacterium. RNAcentral's name for it is "partial 16S ribosomal RNA". It matches the Rfam family "Bacterial small subunit ribosomal RNA", at positions 355 to 1376 of the family's 1533-position model. The record is from RNAcentral.
UGGGGAAUUUUGGACAAUGGGGGAAACCCGUGAUCCAGCCAUCCCCGCGUGUGCGAUGAAGGCCUUCGGGUUGUAAAGCACUUUUGGCAGGAAAGAAACGUCGCGGGUUAAUACCCCGCGAAACUGACGGUACCUGCAGAAUAAGCACCGGCUAACUACGUGCCAGCAGCCGCGGUAAUACGUAGGGUGCAAGCGUUAAUCGGAAUUACUGGGCGUAAAGCGUGCGCAGGCGGUUCGGAAAGAAAGAUGUGAAAUCCCAGAGCUUAACUUUGGAACUGCAUUUUUAACUACCGGGCUAGAGUGUGUCAGAGGGGAGGUGGAAUUCCGCGUGUAGCAUGAAAUGCGUAGAUAUGCGGAGGAACACCGAUGGCGAAGGCAGCCUCCUGGGAUAACACUGACGCUCAUGCACGAAAGCGUGGGGAGCAACAGGAUUAGAUACCCUGGUAGUCCACGCCCUAAACGAUGUCAACUAGCUGUUGGGGCCUUCGGGCCUUGGUAGCGCAGCUAACGCGUGAAGUUGACCGCCUGGGGAGUACGGUCGCAAGAUUAAAACUUAAAUGAAUUGACGGGGGUCAUAGCUGUUUCCCU